GGCAAAUGGAAGCUCAGAUAUGGUCAGGGCGACCAGUUGUCUGGAAGGAGGACUGCAGGAGGACCCCCCUGGGAGGAGGGGAAGCAGACAGCAGUUCAGAAGCAGAGCCUGGGAGGAUGUACAGAGUGCUUUCCAGAGGCGGUCACUGUCACCUGUCACCUGUGGCCCCUGUGCAGCUGACAUCACACAUGGUGCAGGGUAUGUAUAGGGCACAGUGUGGCCAGUGAGGAGACUGUCUGCAGAAGUGAGCUCACCUUCUCUCCUGGAAACUAGAGAGGAGGAAACAAAGGAUUUGUUUCGGUUGUGAGCUACUGAGCUAGGUGACCUACUUUUCUCCCUAUGGAUCACACUCAUGUAAUUGAGGACAUAAAAAUUAUAGUGAGUUUUGCCUGGAUGUUUUAGGUGAGAUGUAUUGGAUUUCAGAAUUCCAAAAACCACCUUCCUGGCUCCUGUUCCUUCUCAGUCGUGGACCCUGUGUUGGCUGCUGCCCCCAUCUCUCCAGUGUUUUCUUCCCAGAAAGCCUGUCCCCUCCUUCUUGCAGGUGGUUAUGAAGGCCCUGCCCCUUUCUCCUUCUUCCUCUCUGUUCACAGAGCCUGUGUGAGUAUAGGUGGGUAAAGGGAAGGGUGAAGUACACAUUCUUGGCCAUCAGUACUGCCUAAUGGAUGACGCAGAAUGAGGAGAAAGGGGACCAAAGUGACAUCUAUCCUUGGGUAGCAGAUUUUGGGGCUAAGAGUUUUAAGACUGAGAGACCAGUAUUUGUUUUUUAAACUCUGAUGAUACAUAAAACAUGGGUCUGUACUUGCAGCAAGGCCCUCUAGUUCAUGAAUUAAUGU
Long non-coding RNA from Ursus maritimus (polar bear), 833 nucleotides. NCBI's taxonomy places the organism in Eukaryota, Metazoa, Chordata, Mammalia, Carnivora, Ursidae. The record is from Ensembl.